UAUUUUGGCCAGGAGCUGAAGUUGGUUGUUUAGUAGUAGUAGUUUGAGUAGUGACCGAAGUAGUAGUCUGGUGUGUGGGUGCAAGAGUAGUUGGGGAAGAAUUAGGUGUGGGUGGGGCAGCUGUGGUCUCUGGUGGAGCUGAGGCGGAUGAUGGGUCUAGGGUAGUUGCAGAAGGUGUGGGUGGGACAGCUGUGGUCUCUGGUGGAGCUGAGGAAGAUAGUGGAGCUGGUGUAGUUGCAGAAGGUGUGGGUGGGGCAGCUGUGGUGUCUUGUGGAGCUGGGGAAUUCACUGGUGCUAAUGUAGCUACAGAAGAGCUUGUGUUAACAUUUUCUCUUGAAGAUAUGGUGGUGGCAUUCUGGGGAAGAAAAGUCACAUUUGGAAGGGUAGUAAUUUUGGUGGCUGGUGAGGAUUUGGGAAUUUGGGGGGGUUAUUAGGUGAAGGUGGAAGCUUAGGCCUACAGCGUUUGUGCAG
Molecule: long non-coding RNA, 471 nt
Filed under: Homo sapiens (human)
Lineage: Eukaryota; Metazoa; Chordata; Mammalia; Primates; Hominidae
Description: HSALNT0320172
Source: RNAcentral